This is a long non-coding RNA of Quercus robur (English oak), 2740 nucleotides long. RefSeq lists it as uncharacterized. The record is from RefSeq and is a predicted model, not a curated record. NCBI's taxonomy places the organism in Eukaryota, Viridiplantae, Streptophyta, Magnoliopsida, Fagales, Fagaceae. The transcript has 5 exons.
GCUACUAAAAAAACACGAGCGAUACAGAGAAAGGGAAGGAGAGAAAAAAAAAAAAGCUUGCAAUACAGGGGAGAGACAGAGUUCAUGCGGCCGGCCAUCACCAUCCCUUUCCAGACUUAGACCACCGGAACCGGCACCGGUAACCUAAAGGUGCAUGCAGGAAUUGAGAUGCGGAGAUAGAGAGAACUACCACCGGUAUUUGGGAUACAUUUGGUUUGGAUUUUAAAAGAGAAGAGAGAAAUUACUGAAAGGAUGCGUUGUUAAGGCACAGGGGAGAAAGACAGACAUCUCAGGGCCGGUACUACCGUCGGCCUCCAACCACAAGGAAACUUUGUUUCUUCUGCCGUCGUACCGCCAGAGCUAUUAUUGGGUGGAAAGGCCAAGCCUUUGAGGCAACCCAAAGUCUAAGAAGAAUGGGUACGGUUAGGUCUUUUUUUCCCUUUAUUGAAAUCUCUUGCAAUUUGUGUUUCAAAGUUUGUAGUUUUAAUGGAUUGGUACUUUGGGUUUGAUUUUUUAUUGACUAUUUCUCAUUGCGUCAUGUGACUUUUUCUCAUUUCUCAUUUUUCCUUUUUCAGUCGUUUACUUAUUUAGUUUCCAAACAAUAGUGCCUGUUCAUUUUGCGGAUUGAACAGUUUCAGUAUAUAUGUUUCAAACCCACAUAACUUUUCAUCCCUAAAGAUGCUGCCUAAACUAACAACGCUUCAAUCAAAGCUAAAUAACUUCCCUUAAGCGUUAAUACCAAUUCAUUGCUUCAAACACCAUUGUCUCUUAAAACCCAUAUUUCUUCUUCUUCGUUGCACAAUCUCAAUAAACACUUCAAAACCACAGAAAUCCCCACUCAAAUCUAGGAGACUGCCUCUCAUGGCAUUUACAAGGUCUGGGUGGGCAUUUACAAUGUUUGCUUAGAGGUCGUGUUCUCCUUUUUCUGCAAGCCAACAAAUGGGAUAUUGGAACAGAUCAAGAUUCAAGGACUAAGAUGGUUCCGUUGGAGAGAGGCUACGGUGAUUUUCUCUUAAUGGGAUUUCGCCAGAAUCAUCUGACUGUUGGGAAGACAAUACGGUUUAAUUUUUUUGUUUGUUGAGAAAUCUCCCCCUUUGCAGUUGGUUGGCCAAUCAUUAAUUCUAUUAAUGAUUGGAUUUAGAAUGUCAGGUUAGUUGGGUGAUAACAUGGUAACAUGGUUUUAAGUUGCAGAAGUAUCUAACAAUGAUUUAUCAUAUAUAUUUUGAAUUUGAGGUAAUGUAACUACUACAAAUGCUUAGUCACAUAAAAAUAUUAAUAGAGAAAGACAAAAGGAUAUGUAGUAUGUUAUUCAGCUGAAGAUAUGGCUGAUAGGGCUGAUAGCAAGGCAAGUUAUUCUUUUUGGAAAAUUUUUAAAUGAGCCAAAAGCAACUUCUAAAUUGAGUUCUAUUUGUAAUAUUGCACUUUAUGUAUAUACUAAUGUUUCUCCUGUAAUUAUGUGACUCAUAUGGAUUUGUUGUGCUAGGGAAAUCAUGGUCCAAUCCCAAUACUUUUUUGCAGUGCAUUUGCAUCAAGUAGAAUUCAUGUAUGUAAUUUCAGCCAAUCUGAUGUAGAUAUGGGAAUAAGGAAAAAGUAUACCACUAAUGCUUGGGAAGCCUAAGUAUACCACUGAUAAUAUAGCAGUCCUAUAGGUAAGUGCUCUGCUUAUAAUCCUUUUGGAGAUUACUUUAUGGGGAUAUUUAGAUUUUCUUAAGAAUUUUGAUUCAUGGGAACUGUUUUUGUUAAGGUGGUGAUGUCAUUGUUACAAAAAGAGGAAAAUGAAGUUUAUAAGAGGCCUAAAUCUGGGAUAAAGAAAGGGUAUUUCUUUCCCCAUUGUUAGGAAGUUUGAAUAUGCAAAAUAUUGAUAACCUAAUAAAUUUUUGUUAGUUAUGUUGUCACUUUUGUUCGUGUCAUCAACCUAAAAGGUAUAAGGUACUGUGAUUGAUAAAUUAAAGUGCUUCUUAAGAACUUUUUAUACAUUUAUUUUUAUCCUACUUAGUUUCUGAAAAUAUUUUUUUCAUCUAUUCUUUGUUUGCCAAUAUCUGUUUCUUCCUAAUGGUCAAGGUUUCAGUGAGUUAUUUGUUAAAGUUAUAUAUUGUGUUGAAUUCUUUUUUUAUUUUAUUUAUCAUUUGCAUCUCUUUUUAAAAAGAAAAGUUUUGCACGUCACUUUUUAAAAAAGAUAGCAUCCUAAGGCCGUGGAAGGUAAUUAGAAGAAGCCAAUAUAUAUAUAUAUAUAUAUUUUGGCAGUGUAUGCCUAAGUUUUUGUUGGCUUGGUUCCGUAUUUCUUUGCCAUAGUCAAACAUUCUAUAUAUUUGUUUUUGCUUUUUAUAUUUUUUGUUGGCUUGAUGAGCGCAGGGGAAAGUUUCCAAAUUCUUAUCAAACUUGCAAGAUUAUGAAUACCCACACACCAUUUUGAUAUACAAUUCUUUCUCUCUCUCUCUCUCUGAAUUCAGUUAUGCCAGAUUAUUUUUGUCCAAGAUCAGUAUUAUGCGGAAGCAGCAUGUUGAUUCGUAUCAAAAAGAGUGGUGGAUUGGGUUCCAAUAACUUUCUUUUUGGGGACCUGAAUUUGAAGCAAAGAAAUAGAAAGAGAAUGUGUAAUACAGAAUUCAAUUUAAUUUUCAGUUUCUGUUUUCCAUCCUACCUGUUUUGCUGUUUUUGAAGAGUGAUUGAAAUUGUAGAACUUUGAAAUCUGAAAGUGUAAUGUUUUUUAUACAAAGUUGAUUAUCUCUUAGAUUUUAGUUAA